RNAcentral lists this transfer-messenger RNA (344 nucleotides) under uncultured Catonella sp. It matches the Rfam family "transfer-messenger RNA". From Rfam's summary of the family: Bacterial tmRNA, also known as 10Sa RNA or SsrA, is named for its dual tRNA and mRNA-like properties. Its role is to liberate the mRNA from a stalled ribosome. To accomplish this part of the tmRNA is used as a reading frame that ends in a translation stop signal. Lineage: Bacteria; Bacillati; Bacillota; Clostridia; Lachnospirales; Lachnospiraceae. The record is from RNAcentral.
GGGGUUGUACUGGUUUCGACAGGGAUUUUAAGCUCGGAGAAGCAGGUCGCAGGCACGCGCAAAUCCAAACCUAAAUAUAAAUGCUGAAGACGAUUACGAUUUAGCACUUGCUGCCUGAUGGCAGCGCGUCCUUCCUGAUGCACCCACGUCAUUAGGGUAAGGGCGUCGAACUCGUGGGAAACGACGUAGUAAGUGACUCGUAACUACGGGCGUAUCAGAGCCUACCAAAACGUCUGUACCGUGUCGGUCCGGGACAGAUUGAGGGAAUAAACAUAGACACGACUAAACCUGUAGAAGUACGAGGGAGGAAUCUUUGGACAGGGGUUCGAUUCCCCUCAGCUCCA